AUUAAAGUGAGUCGCAAUAAUUUUUUGUUCGUGAGCAAAGUGUUUCCCUUUCCGAUAGCACCAAGAGAAAACUACUCGCGCAUAUUUGUGCGGAAUUUUUAUACCCAUUCAUGUACCCAUUUGAUAGCGUAGAACCAAUACAACAAAAAACUUCGGCUGUUGGCUGUGUAGACGAUCGACUUCAAAGUACGGGUAUAUGUUCUCUGGUUCUGUUUUGGUUUUUCGGCUGCGUGCAAUCUGACGAGAGAAAAAAUGGCAUAAAAAAUCAUUUAAGAAAUGGCAAUAUUACAAGACUCAGAAAAUAUAUAAUUUUUUAGUACCUUUU
Contarinia nasturtii (swede midge) is the source of this 325-nucleotide long non-coding RNA. RefSeq lists it as uncharacterized. The transcript has 2 exons. NCBI's taxonomy places the organism in Eukaryota, Metazoa, Arthropoda, Insecta, Diptera, Cecidomyiidae. The record is from RefSeq and is a predicted model, not a curated record.